GACGAACGCUGGCGGCGUGCUUAACACAUGCAAGUCGAACGGUGAAAGCGGAGCUUGCUCCGCUGGAUCAGUGGCGAACGGGUGAGUAACACGUGGGCAACCUGCCCCUCACUUCGGGAUAACUCCAGGAAACCGGGGCCAAUACCGGAUAUGACCUCCUUGGGCAUCCUUGGAGGUGGAAAGUUUUUCGGUGAGGGAUGGGCCCGCGGCCUAUCAGCUUGUUGGUGAGGUAGUGGCUCACCAAGGCGACGACGGGUAGCCGGCCUGAGAGGGCGACCGGCCACACUGGGACUGAGACACGGCCCAGACUCCUACGGGAGGCAGCAGUGGGGAAUAGUGCACAAUGGGCGCAAGCCUGAUGCAGCGACGCCGCGUGAGGGAUGACGGCCUUCGGGUUGUAAACCUCUUUCAGCAUCGACGAAGCGAAAGUGACGGUAGGUGCAGAAGAAGGACCGGCCAACUACGUGCCAGCCGCCGCAGUAA
Molecule: ribosomal RNA, 483 nt
Filed under: uncultured bacterium
Lineage: Bacteria
Description: partial 16S ribosomal RNA
Rfam family: Bacterial small subunit ribosomal RNA
Source: RNAcentral